ACUCCUACGGGAGGCAGCAGUGGGAAUAUUGCACAAUGGGCGAAAGCCUGACGCAGCAACGCCGCGUGUGGGAAGACGGCUCUAGGGUUGUAAACCACUUUCAGUAGGGACGAAAUUGACGGUACCUACAGAAGAAGCGCCGGCCAACUACGUGCCAGCAGCCGCGGUAAUACGGGGUGGCAAGCGUUAAUCGGAGUUAUUGGGCGUAAAGGGUGCGUAGGUUGUUAUUUAAGUCAUGUGGGAAAUACCUGGGCUCAACCUGGGAAUGACGGAUGAUACUGAAUGACUAGAGUAUAGUAGAGGGUAGUGGAAUUUCCGGUGUAGCGGUGAAAUGCGUAGAGAUCGGAAGGAACACCAGUGGCGAAGGCGGCUACCUGGACUAAUACUGACACUGAGGCACGAAAGCGUGGGUAGCAAACAGGAUUAGAUACCCUGGUAGGUC
RNAcentral lists this ribosomal RNA (442 nucleotides) under uncultured bacterium. Its description in RNAcentral is "bacterial SSU rRNA". It matches the Rfam family "Bacterial small subunit ribosomal RNA", at positions 335 to 795 of the family's 1533-position model. The record is from RNAcentral.